GUCUGGAGAUCCCCUCUUCUGGUGUUUUCUGUGGGUGAGUCUAGCAUAUGAAUUCAAAGAUAUUUGUUUCUGUUCUGCAGAGGUGACUUCUUGGAACUUAACUGUCAGUUCCAGAUCAUAAAAUGCUUCUGUUGAAGGCAGAGCAUACCUCUGCCAGAAAGGAGGCUAUUGCUUUGAAAGAAGAUCAUCUGGUGCAGAGCUUCUGGGAAUGUUUUAAUUGAAAAUAUCUGGCUACCCAAACACACGCACUGUGCACAGGGGAAAUUUUCAAGCAUUUAUUCAAACUGUGAAUAGACUGGGUGAUGUGCAAGAGAGUGGGAGAGGACACAGCCAGGCAGAUGACCCAAACUGACCAAAGAGAUACUUCAUGUAAUACAAUGACACGUACAGCAACAAAAAAUGGAAAAGAAACAGACUUUCAGAGAAUGGCCGGAGCUGGAAUCUGCUUUGGCAGCUGAUCUUCUCUAUUUUCAUCAGGAAACAAAUGUGCAAACUUUACAGCUUCUCAGCACUGUAAAUUUGCAGUCUUUUUCUCCUUUGCUUGAAAGUUGCAGUCUGCCAAAUUUCCAUGUCUAUGCUAUCACUCCAUUCACUGUCCUGAACAUUUCUGUGCAUUGUGGUUUUGCCCAGGAAGAAGAGUAGUGUUGCUUGCAGGGAUGACUGUAUGAGCUAAUUACCCAAUUGCCAGAGAGAAAUUGUGUGCCUGGAUGUGGACAUCAAGUGGCUCAUGCGGAACUGACCUGGUAGUCUCUCUGUUCUCACAGAUGUGUGUUCACUAUCACUGUUUCUUCAGAUUCAAAGGUACUGGCUUCAGACAGAAUUACUACUAGGAAAUGUGGAGAAAAUCUACUGGUUUAUAUGAAUAGAAGCUUGGACUCUAGAAAGCCUAGAUUUUUGAAAAUAGUUGCAAAUAACUGAAUGAAGAUAUCAAUGGAGACAGACAGGAAUAAGGUCACAGCACUGUUCCUUUAGUUCCCUACCACCAGGAUACUCAAUAGCCAAAAGCAUUUUCUCUGUCCCAGAAAUUUAUGACAGAUAAUGUAAUAAUCCAAGACAAAUUAGACUUUCCCUGCACAGGAAUACUGGCAUUUGAGAAGAAAGUAAAAAUUGUGUCAUCAAUUGAAAUCAACUGCAGUGUCUGGCACUACUUCUCCCUGUGUAACUUAAUCCAUUGGUUGUCUCAUAUAAUAAAUCAGAUAAAAAAUUGGGGCCAUGCCCUUGGAGUAAGGCAGCACAGCUCCACUGACUAGGCCAAUUUAGACCAUCUGAGGUUAGUAUUCUUUGAUGCUGAAAUUGUUCGCUUGAUUAAUGGACCAACUGUAUAGCUCUUAUCUAACUUGGACUGCAACCAGAGUCUCUUCUGUUGUCAAAUGCCAGUAUGAAGACUACAACCAUAAACCUCUGUUAUUUAACAUGUAAUGAGCUGAGAGACAGCACCAUAAUUUUUGCUACCUUGAUAUAUUAUUUAACUAUAUAAUUCAAUGCAAGGCUCUUUUUUCCUGAGUUUUAAAUAAUAUAGGAACAUUAGCUCAAGGAGGAGGAAGUGAAAGGAUCACAUAAUCUGUUAGCAGCAUCUUCAUUUGGACUGCUAAUAGCAAAUACAGGAGCAAAACACUGUUGCUGUUUCAAUACUAAGUGUACCACUCUGCUUGAAAGGGAAAGUCAGGGAAAUGGAAAGUAAUCUUCAAUGGUGUACACUUCUAAAUUACUACAUGUUCUAAUAUAAUGUAUAAAGGGAUUUAUUUACACUCAUAUAACUGCUUGUAAUAACAGAUUCCUAGAUUGCUACUUUUUAUUUGUUUGGUUAUGGCCUUCUGGUGCUGACUAGUGCUAAUAGCUACACAGUAGU
This is a long non-coding RNA of Lagopus muta (rock ptarmigan), 1849 nucleotides long. RefSeq lists it as uncharacterized. The record is from RefSeq and is a predicted model, not a curated record. The transcript is spliced from 6 exons. NCBI's taxonomy places the organism in Eukaryota, Metazoa, Chordata, Aves, Galliformes, Phasianidae.